Long non-coding RNA from Bos taurus (domestic cattle), 1010 nucleotides. The record is from Ensembl. Lineage: Eukaryota; Metazoa; Chordata; Mammalia; Artiodactyla; Bovidae.
UAGAUGUGGUCUGUCACCUCCAGGGAAGGGCAGCAAGGCUGCUUUCUGAGCACUGGACUUGGAUGACUCAUAUGCAACCUAGAAAAGAAAGCGACACAGCUGCCUCUCUUGGCACUCCCUGUGGCUUAGGGCUAAGCGCUGGUGGGAGCAGGAUGGUGCAGGAAAACAGUUCUCGCGUGUAUGAUCUCUUCAGCUCAUAAAAGAUACCAUCAGUACCAAAUAAUCAGCUCUUGAGGAACCUCUGCAGUGUAUGUGGAAACAGAGGCACCUGCUGGUCGUUCUAUCUAGUCCUUCUGGAACAGGGCAAGCUAACUCUUCCCCAUGGGCCUCAAAAUGCAGCACUGAUUAUUGAUCUAAUGAUUAUUUAACUCCUGCGAGAUGAAAGUUACCUGAGUAGACGUUAUGCAUCAUGAAUCCUGGAAAAUCUUUGCAACUCAUUCUCUGUACCCUUCUUUGAAACUGUACUCAUCUUCAGAGGAGAUUCUACGUGAAUCUUGGGAUCCACCAUCGUCUUGUCUUGGGACUCUAGAGGUACCUCAGGAUGAAACUUUGGUUGGUAUCUAAUCUUGGGAGUUCCCCGGGUGAAAUCCAAAACUGGCCCCAUACACAGAGGUUAAGGAGAGAGAGAAGAAAGAGGAGACUACUCCAGAUCAGCAGGUGGCAGUUCUAAUAAGCACGGGAGCUUACACACAAUGCUUGUGUUGGCGGUACAAGAUCAGGAGCUCUCCGUAACUGCUGCCAAAAUCUUAAGUCUGGACACAAGUCUUAACUGGGUUCAGCCACACAUUCAGUUUCAAUAGUCUCAACUCACUGUUCUCUCAGUGCUGCACCCUUGAAAUCAGCUCAGCUAUGGGAGCAAAGUGCAGAAUAUUUCAAGGUCAGAGGAGAGAGAAGGCUCUGACUGCCCAGGUCCAGCUUACAGGUCAAGCAAUGGUCAUGUCCUCUCGAUGACCUCCUCCAACAACUUCCUGUCUUGCAGUCAAACUGUAAAUAAAAAUAAUAAAGAAACA